GGCGGCGUGCCUAACACAUGCAAGUCGAACGGGGAUUUGGUUCGGCAGAAUCCUAGUGGCGAACGGGUGAGUAACGCGUAGGCAACCUGCCCUCCGGCCGGGGACAACACUCCGAAAGGGGUGCUAAUACCGGAUACGAAGUCUGUGCCGCAUGGUACGGAUUUGAAAGAUGGCCUCUGUUUACAAGCUAUCGCCGGGGGAUGGGCCUGCGUCCGAUUAGCUGGUUGGUGGGGUAACGGCCUACCAAAGGCGACGAUCGGUAGCCGGUCUGAGAGGAUGAACGGCCACAUUGGGACUGAGACACGGCCCAGACUCCUGCGGGAGGCAGCAGUGGGGAAUCUUCCGCAAUGGGCGCAAGCCUGACGGAGCAACGCCGCGUGAGUGAGGAAGUUCUUCGGAACGUAAAGCUCUGUUGUUCCUGACGAACCUCCCUUCUAUCAACAACGGAAGGGACUGACGGUAGGGAACGAGGAAGCCACGGCUAACUACGUGCCAGCCGCGGC
Molecule: ribosomal RNA, 503 nt
Filed under: uncultured bacterium
Lineage: Bacteria
Description: bacterial SSU rRNA
Rfam family: Bacterial small subunit ribosomal RNA
Source: RNAcentral